CCACGACCAGCCGGAACUCCCACUCAGAGAAUGUACAACUCCUCUGCCACAACGUGAGGGAGAGAAGUCUGCAGACGGCUGACUGGUGACGACUGAACAAGACGGAAAGGCAAGUCGCUAUGCCCGAAGCCUUUGAAGGGAGCCAGCAGGGUCCAUGGGAGGUUCAGGACACAUAUCUGCAGCCCUGCUUCUGGCCCCACCCUUGGGGAAGCCUUUUGCAGGUGAUCCUGGGCCUCUGCUGGGGAAGGCCCCAAGAGGUGAAGCAUCCUCUGCAGAGGAGAGAGCACAUCCGGAAGUAGAAGACAGACCACUGUCUGGGCUCCGUUUAACUGCUGUGAUUUGGGAUUGUAACUUACUCCCGUAAAGCCUCAGUUUCCCACAUGGAAAAUCAAAUCGAUCAUUGUUAUAACAUUUCACUUUUUUGUUAUGUGAUGUAAUUUACACAGUGCUUUCGUAUACGUUAUCCAAUUUAGCGAAAUAAUACAGAGCAAUGCAUUUUGAAAAGAAUAAAAUGCUUAACAUAUGUGAGGAAUUCUUUUUUCCUUUGAAAACUACUCCGGAUGGCUUGGCUAUUGUUUAGUUAAGAGAAUUAUACAAUUUUUGAGACAUGGUUCCUUAUCUUGUGUAGGCUGAAAGGCAAUUAAACAAUUAUUCAUGUCAGAAUCUGAGGUAAAUAAAAGGCUGCUUCAAAGAGUCCACUUACGGAGUGAAAAGCAGUUGAGUAGAAACAGAGAGUGGUCUGUAAUUUCCUUCUGGAAGGAAUAUCCACUCCAUAUGGCCUGAAGCAAGAAUUUCAAACUCCUACGUGUGACCUUUACACAGCCAGGACCCCCAUAGAGCAGCCAAACAUGCAGUCUUGUAAACAAAAGGAAUUUCAAGAUAACUCUGAUCUUUCACUAAUUAUCCCAAAGCCCAAAGGGGAUCCAUAUACAUAGUCCGAAGCCUACUUUAAGGAGGCAUCCUCCCCUGUGUAUUCCCAGCCCAUCCCAUAGUU
RNAcentral lists this long non-coding RNA (994 nucleotides) under Homo sapiens (human). Its description in RNAcentral is "HSALNT0199474". The record is from RNAcentral. Lineage: Eukaryota; Metazoa; Chordata; Mammalia; Primates; Hominidae.